This 444-nucleotide ribosomal RNA is filed under the name Phaeocystis sp. JD-2012. Its description in RNAcentral is "SSU rRNA". It matches the Rfam family "Eukaryotic small subunit ribosomal RNA", at positions 439 to 887 of the family's 1831-position model. Lineage: Eukaryota; Haptophyta; Phaeocystales; Phaeocystaceae. The record is from RNAcentral.
AAUGCCCGAAUCCUGACACAGGGAGGUAGUGACAAGAAAUAACAAUACAGGGCUACUUCUAGUCUUGUAAUUGGAAUGAGUACAACUUACAUCUCUUCACGAGGAUCAAUUGGAGGGCAAGUCUGGUGCCAGCAGCCGCGGUAAUUCCAGCUCCAAUAGCGUAUAUUAAAGUUGUUGCAGUUAAAAAGCUCGUAGUCGGAUUUCGGGGCCUGCCGAGCGGUCUGCCGAUGGGUAUGCACUGUUCGGCGCGUCCUUCUUUCCGGAGACUAAUUCUACUCUUAACUGAGCGGAAUUGGGAGACGGAUCGUUUACUUUGAAAAAAUCAGAGUGUUUCAAGCAGGCAGCUCGCUCUUGCAUGGAUUAGCAUGGGAUAAUGAAAUAGGACUCUGGUGCUAUUUUGUUGGUUUCGAACACCGGAGUAAUGAUUAACAGGGACAGUCAGGG